AAAAGACACAAAAAAGUAUUAUUGUAAGUUAGACAAAAAGUUAUCGACACAAGAAGUUUCCCUAAAAGGAAUAAUGAUACACAGCAUCAUCAGUUUCUCGCUUCAAAAUUUUUCAAUAAAAAGCUCCCUGGCUUGUAUAUGUCAGCAAUUACAUAUGGGAUAAAAAAAAAUAUAUUAAAAAAAACAGGUGUUAGGAGAGGAGCCUCCAGAACCUCAGUGAAAUAUCACUUGUCGCUCUGAAACUCCAAUGUCUACUUUGUAUCCAAAAUUUGGAAGUUUCACCUCAUGCUUCUUUUUUCUAAUGGUUCCAGAAUUUAAAGCAACAGCCAAACAAAUCAGAAACUCGCUUUUGUUCUGGCUAUGAGUUGUUUUCCCUAAAAUUUUAAGAGGCUUCUCAAACGCAGAAAAAUGUGUCUCUUUUCAAUCAGCUGCCCCAAUAUAUUUAAUCAGUUACUUGGGGAGGUACCAAUCUUAAAUUACUCCACCUAAGAGGUUGGUACCCCUCAAAAAUAAGUGGCUUCUUCAGUCAGACUCCUUUCCAGAACCUGAUGAAGCAUCCCCAUUCAAAGAAUCCUCUCUGUUUGCCGAAUUAGGUAGACCUCCUUGAUGGUUAUCCUCAUGUGUGACGUUUUUAGGUUUCCCAGGUCUAGUUCGAACAUUAACCCCCAUUGGAAAGGGCACCUGAUCACCAGCAUUGGGGCCAUCAGUGUUGAAUAGAAUGGGUCGGCAUCGUUUAUCCUCAUUCAUCAAGCUUGAAUUCUGGAAAUGUGCAAUAAGAGCAGCUUUUCCUUGUAUGCGAGCAUAUGCAAGUGAUGCUACUUUUUCACUAUUGAACUUCUCCCAUUUCUUUCCAUUAAACACCUGAUAGAAUGGAAUUAUCUGGCUUGGGUCAAUCAUGUUGAUAAAUGCAUACCCCACAUUGCACUUAUUCUUGAAAUCAAUUGGUAGAUAAAUGAAAUCAUAAGUUCCUUUGUGGUGUUCAUCAAUUGCAGCCAAAAGCAUUUUUGAAGUAUACCUGCCAUCACCACCAGAUGACUGUUAAAUCAUAACCUUGAACCACAAAAACUUUGCCAACCAAUCCAUGUAAAUGUUAAUUUAACCCAACCCGUAGUGUCCAAUACUAUUACAAAAUCAUUGGGCAUGCCUAAGACAGAUAGUUCCAUGGAUUAAAAGUCAAUGUUUCAUAAAACAAUAAUUAAAUAGCAACUAGUAGUUAUACGGUCAGAGAAUCAAAGGUAUGCACCACACACUUGUUAGGAAUAUUCUUUAUCAUAAGUGUCGUUCGGUUGUCUUCCCCUUGCAGUAUCCGAUCUAAAUCAAGUUCAUACUGUUUCUUGUCAGCCUGAUUAAUACUGCCUUCAUUUCUACGGCUCCUGCCACGUUCACUUGGAGAGUCAAAUGAAUUGGUCAUGGGAAUCAUUUGGCUCCUGCCAGGAAAAAUUGGGGAUCUCUGAUUGUGUGGUUGGUGUCCCGCACUUUUAGGGGGAAUUGGCAAGUCCAUAUAGUUUCCAGCAACAUGAGGGAACAAGGUAGGAGAUAGAAGUUCCAUAGAGUGCAGUGAGUUAUUAGAAAUUCUCAAGCUCCCAAGGGAACCUGGAUGAAAACCAGAAGUCUCAGGAGAUUCCCCUCCAUAAGCAUGUCGCCUGGCCCAGAGAGAAGAAUUAACAGUUGGUGCUGAUCCCACAUGAUGGUUAUUUACAGGUAAAACAGCGUUAAGAACCGGAGAUGGUGCUCUAGGAGGUCCAUGCAGCCGGACUGUGGGAUGAGCCAUUGAAAUUCCAUUGACAAAGGAUGGUGGGCUUGGCCAUAUCAUGCCUGGAGAAUGCGGGUGAUAGGAGUUACCCCACGCAUAAUGAUGUCCAGGAAGAGAGGGGCUUCCAUUAAUAGUGGAUCCAAAAACUGAAAACAGGCAAGAGACGUUAAAUAAAUAUAAAAAUAAAUUGACUGAACUAAGUGAAUUCUGAUUUCCAUCCGAAAAGAAUCAUUUAAUAUGCAUAGCUUCCAAAUAUUCCUACUUUAAUAUUAGAACGUGAAGCCACCAAAAUGAACUCACAUAAGACAUCUAAACUUCAGACCACUGCAUGGAAUGAAAACUGUGGUAAGAGUAGGAUUAGACAGGUUACUUUGACUUUUCAAAUCCCAACACCAUAGGAUCAUGUCACGUAAGAACUUAACCUCAACUAAGACAUUGGAGGUAGAAGAGUUUUGAAAGUACACAACUGCAAUCAUCCCUAUCUGAUUGCAGUUAAGUAUUCUAAGAGCAAAGAAGAUAAUGCAAAUCAAACUUAGGUUUUCAGUGAGCCAAAUCACUGUUGCUUUUUCCCCCUUAAAAUUUGUGUUUUUCGUCUUACUAGAGGCUUUCACAUUAUGCUAUACAGGUAUGCAAGCAAUGGAGAGGCAAGGCGGGAAAAUAAAGGCUCUGUUAUGUUGCCAUGCUUUUUUUGGUUUGGCUAUUUUGGAAGUUAAAGGGCAACAUUAGGUGAGAAAAUAAAAGGCAACAUUUAAAAGGUUCUUUUUUUUUUAUUAUUCUUGUUAAUUUCCCUUUUUUUUUCUCAUGUGGAGUAACCUGUAUAUAUCAAGUACGCUAUUUUAUUAAUGUAUUUGUUUUAUAGCAAAAUCAAAAUUUAUAGCAAGUACUUUUUAGGAAGCAAAAAUAAAAAGGCACCAAGUUUGAACCAAAUGGAUCCCCCCAAAUAAAUAAAUAAACAAAAAUCAUUUGAAACAACUGCAUUUACCCCUAUCGUUGAAUUCAAUCAAGUGUCUAUUUGUACCAAUUCUGUGUGACUGCCUGUUGUCGAUUCUUUCAGGGGGCUUCAGACUUAUGUUUGCAGCCAUGCUGCCAGGAGAAUUGCAGUGAAGAACACUCUUUAAACCAUCAUGAUAUUCUGGAAGUGAAUGAGGAUGAAAAUUUGGUGUGCGUUGAAAAUCAAAUUUUAAUUGGCCCUGCAUGCAACCAGGCUCAGCAAGGCCAGUUUGGUUGCCAGCCGAUUCAAGCCUCAAAACAGAGGACAAGCUAUUAGGAACACUUGAAGAAAUUCCAUGAUGACAUUCAGAUUCCAGAAAUGGGGCUUGUGUUGCAGAUGGUAAUCCCAAGAGAGUUCCAUUAUCCAUGCCAUUGGAAAUAACAGUGAUUCCAGCAGCUGAGUUUUUGGGAGGGCUACUUUGCUGUGCAUGAGGGCCACACUCAUCAUGUUCCAACAAACAUCUUGAACCCCCGAUAUGGCUUGACUCAAGCUUCAUUUGCUUCCCUGCAAUAUCACUCCUGUUCAACGCACGAAGAGCAGCUUCUGCAGCUCGAACAUCAUAAAAUUCGAUAAGUUUGUGAUGACCUCUGUGUGGGGCUUCACGAAUCUCCUUAAUUUCUCCAUACACCCCAAAAAUCUGA
This 3385-nucleotide unclassified non-coding RNA is filed under the name Hevea brasiliensis (rubber tree). Lineage: Eukaryota; Viridiplantae; Streptophyta; Magnoliopsida; Malpighiales; Euphorbiaceae. The record is from RNAcentral.